AACGAACGCUGGCGGCAUGCCUAACACAUGCAAGUCGAACGAGACCUUCGGGUCUAGUGGCGCACGGGUGCGUAACGCGUGGGAAUCUGCCCUUGGGUUCGGAAUAACAGUUGGAAACGACUGCUAAUACCGGAUGAUGACGUAAGUCCAAAGAUUUAUCGCCCAAGGAUGAGCCCGCGUAGGAUUAGCUAGUUGGUGAGGUAAAGGCUCACCAAGGCGACGAUCCUUAGCUGGUCUGAGAGGAUGAUCAGCCACACUGGGACUGAGACACGGCCCAGACUCGUACGGGAGGCAGCAGUGGGUAAUAUUGGACAAUGGGCGAAAGCCUGAUCCAGCAAUGCCGCGUGAGUGAUGAAGGCGUUAGGGUUGUAAAGCUCUUUUACCCGGGAUGAUAAUGACAGUACCGGGAGAAUAAGCUCCGGCUAACUACGUG
Molecule: ribosomal RNA, 433 nt
Filed under: uncultured bacterium
Lineage: Bacteria
Description: partial 16S ribosomal RNA
Rfam family: Bacterial small subunit ribosomal RNA
Source: RNAcentral